Siniperca chuatsi (mandarin fish) is the source of this 2582-nucleotide long non-coding RNA. RefSeq lists it as uncharacterized. NCBI's taxonomy places the organism in Eukaryota, Metazoa, Chordata, Actinopteri, Centrarchiformes, Sinipercidae. The transcript is spliced from 4 exons. The record is from RefSeq and is a predicted model, not a curated record.
GGGAAAUAAUGGGGAUGAUAAUAAAACAGGGGGAAAACCCGUCCGAGGGAAGCUGAAUGGAUGGAGCCAGAGAGACGUCACGGCCAGCCGCAGCCAUGAAGACUGAGCGGUCCAGCCUCUGGCAGCUCAGUUGGUCUCCAUCUCCCGAGCCGCUCGCUCCUCGGUGUCGGAGAGCGGACGCAGCAGCGACUCGCAGACGACGGCGACAGAACUUGGCCCAUGGUACUUCGCCUGCGGCUUGAGAGGAUGGGUAGCCUUAGGGGUUGGUUGUUAUCUUUGGUUAUCUAGCUGUAUGAGUGAUGUACAUUCUUCAUAAAGCUAGAUAACCGAAAGUAACAAGAAUCCCAUUACACUCCUGAAAAGGCAUCAAGACCCCAAACGCGCCUCCCUCCAAAAAAACAAACUCUGCCACAAGAACUGCAACACGAGAAAAGAAAAUGGACAACAUUUAAAAGGAGAUGGGAGUGGAAUGCAGCAAAAGGCUACCACCACCACACCACUGAAGAAAAGCUGGCAAAAGGAGACUGAAAAACAGAGAAGAAGGAGGAGGAGGGGUUGCUGUUGAUUCUGCCCUCCCUCUCUCCUCGCCCUCCUCUGCAUCGCCUCUUCCCUCCUCCUCAUCCUCCUCCCUUCUUCCUCCGCUCCAUCCUCAGCAGACUGCCCCUUUUUCCUGUACAGCGAGAAGCAGCCCGCGCCACCAUCUUAGAGCAACGCUGGCAUGAAAUGGAAGUGGGAAGACCAGUCAGUGCAGGUGAAUGUUGUCGGUGCAGGGGGAUCCGAAACGGCUAGAGCACACAAUGGAGGGAUAGCAGGACAACUCCCUCGGCGGCCAUUUGCCGCCUUUCAACCAGGACUAAACAAGAACGAUGGCAUGGAUGUCUGCACAUGACUCAGUGGCGAUUCCUGCCCUGACUUUGGAACAUCGCUGCACUGUUUGUAUCUCUUUGAUGCUGCUGUGUGAUGCAUUAUUUGACCCAACAUUCAAACUGGACUGUUUGUGAACGCCUUGUGGUGUUUUAGCUGAGCAAACAUCAUGGUGGACUGUGACUGUGGGAAACAAGGCCCAGAGAGAAGAUCAUCUUGAGGUGUAGACAAACUGGUCCAUAAUUGUGACUCUUGUUUUCGUUUUUGAGGGUGUGGCACUAUAUUUUGUAAUUAUUAUAUAUAUAUAUAUGUUUAUGCCUAAACAAUAUUACUUAGACAUGAGUUAGUCUUCAACUAACAUAGGCCUGACUUACUGUAGGUCAUAAUUGAUGAGUUGUAGCCCACGUUUAGUUUGAUUUCUGUUUUGUUAUAGUUGCUAGGACUCAAAGACACGUGAAUGUGAGACCCACGGCAGCAGUGAAUAAUACUGCACUGCGAUUGGACAGCUCCGUGUGUCGGCUGACACAAUGGCGUAGGAGUGAGCUGUCGUCUUUAUACUCUAUGCAACUGUUUUAUCUUUUUUUUUUCUGUUUUUUUUUUCGUCUUGAAACCCAGUUGGGCAGAGCCCCUUUCAUCAUUACUCUGGAUUUUUUUGGGCUACCAGUUUAUAGACAUUCCUUCAGACAUCAUCAAAAGAAAUGGUUUCUGGAGAGACUACAUUCCGUUGUUAAUAUACUGAUACAGAAAUUACAGUGUGUGUGUGUGUGUAUGACAAAUGUCAGAAUACAGCUCAGUUUCAUAUGUAUUGAAUCUCAUAUUUGUAGCUUUAACAGACUUUGAUUUGACGGUGCAGCCAUGAGUCACAGUCUGAGUAAAUGUGGACUCACACGUUUAAUAUUCAGAAGAUAUAUGGCAUAAGUGUGUUUGAUCAGCAGGAAGUAGCUGAGCAUGGCUCAUGGCUGCGUGUGUACAGAACAUGCCACACUAUUAAAACCUUCCCAGCAGGCUUUGAGACGCAGCAGUUUGGUUCAUAGCAGUUACCUGCUUGGCUGUAAUGAUACAUCUUUGGGUGAGACAUGACAAAUACAUUGGCUUCAAACACUGCCUUAAUUUCCUGUCCUUGACAUUAACACACACACACGCGCGCGUGCACACACACACACACAUACCCAAAUGCAAUAAAGCAAGUACUAUCGCAGCCUAAUUCAUUCUAUAUUAAUUUUCGGGAAGUGGCAAUUUUUUAUUACGAUUGAUAAUCUAUGCAAAUCUUUUAAAUAUUACUUUAAACAAUCUAUGUCUAUGCAGUGCUUCUGCAAUUGAUUCAAGGGAGACUAUCUUGGCCUAAUUUAGAAAAUGUAUUCUUUUGAUAAUCAUGCACAUCCCAGUGCUCAAGACAAUUACUUAUCUGCCUGGAUAAGCUUGAAAUUAUGUUUUUAAUCUUUAGCAAAAAAAAAAAGUCACUCUUCUGAUAUCAGUCCAGAGGCAUGAAAACCAUGAAUUGUGGUCUAAAAUAAUUAAAUUGGUUGCACUAAAUCUCUUUUUUCCUUAAAUGCUGAUCAAACAUAUCUAUUCAGCUAUGCCUUCACAUAGCUUAUUGCUUUAUAUAAGCAACGGUGUUUGUGUUAUGCAAUCUAGUCGCUGUGAAUAAUUGUUCACCACAUGUGCCUUUGUAUGGAAAACUGUGUUGGAAUAGUAAUAAAGGUUUACAUUGAAAACAA